Molecule: ribosomal RNA, 240 nt
Filed under: uncultured bacterium
Lineage: Bacteria
Description: partial 16S ribosomal RNA
Rfam family: Bacterial small subunit ribosomal RNA
Source: RNAcentral
UGGCGAACGGGUGAGUAACGCGUGAGGAACCUGCCUCAAAGAGGGGGACAACAGUUGGAAACGACUGCUAAUACCGCAUAAGCCCACGGGUCGGCAUCGACCUGAGGGAAAAGGAGCAAUCCGCUUUGAGAUGGCCUCGCGUCCGAUUAGCUAGUUGGUGAGGUAACGGCCCACCAAGGCGACGAUCGGUAGCCGGACUGGGAGGUUGAACGGCCACAUUGGAACUGAGACACGGCCCAG